GGGGAAUAUUGGACAAUGGGGGCAACCCUGAUCCAGCCAUGCCGCGUGUGUGAAGAAGGCCUUCGGGUUGUAAAGCACUUUAAGCGGGGAGGAAGGCCUGAUGGCUAAUAUCCAUCGGGAUUGACGUUACCCGCAGAAUAAGCACCGGCAAACUUCGUGCCAGCAGCCGCGGUAAUACGAAGGGUGCGAGCGUUAAUCGGAAUUACUGGGCGUAAAGCGCGCGUAGGUGGUUAAGUAAGCGAUGUGCGAAAGCCCCGGGCUUAACCUGGGAACUGCAGGUCGAACUGCGUGGCUAGAGUAUGGUAGAGGGGUGUGGAAUUUCCUGUGUAGCGGUGAAAUGCGUAGAUAUAGGAAGGAACAUCAGUGGCGAAGGCGACACCCUGGACCGAUACUGACACUGAGGCGCGAAAGCGUGGGGAGCAAAC
Molecule: ribosomal RNA, 425 nt
Filed under: uncultured bacterium
Lineage: Bacteria
Description: bacterial SSU rRNA
Rfam family: Bacterial small subunit ribosomal RNA
Source: RNAcentral